GAUGAACGCUAGCGGCAGGCUUAAUACAUGCAAGUCGAGGGGCAGCAUGUCCCGCAGCAAUGCGGGAUGAUGGCGACCGGCAAACGGGUGCGGAACACGUACACAACCUUCCUUUAAGUG
RNAcentral lists this ribosomal RNA (120 nucleotides) under uncultured bacterium. RNAcentral describes it as "partial 16S ribosomal RNA". It matches the Rfam family "Bacterial small subunit ribosomal RNA", at positions 28 to 138 of the family's 1533-position model. The record is from RNAcentral.